This 255-nucleotide ribosomal RNA is filed under the name uncultured bacterium. RNAcentral's name for it is "partial 16S ribosomal RNA". It matches the Rfam family "Archaeal small subunit ribosomal RNA", at positions 474 to 727 of the family's 1478-position model. The record is from RNAcentral.
UACCAGCACCCCCGAGUGGUCGGGACGUUUUAUUGGGCCUAAAGCAUCCGUAGCCGGUUCUACAAGUCUUCCGUUAAAUCCAGCUGCUUAACAGAUGGGCUGCGGAAGAUACUAUGGAGCUAGGAGGCGGGAGAGGCAAGCGGUACUCGAUGGGUAGGGGUAAAAUCCGUUGAUCCAUUGAAGACCACCAGUGGCGAAGGCGGCUUGCCAGAACGCGCUCGACGGUGAGGGAUGAAAGCUGGGGGAGCAAACCGG